RNAcentral lists this transfer RNA (69 nucleotides) under Penaeus stylirostris (blue shrimp). Its description in RNAcentral is "tRNA-Lys". Lineage: Eukaryota; Metazoa; Arthropoda; Malacostraca; Decapoda; Penaeidae. The record is from RNAcentral.
CACCGGGUGACUGAAAGUAAGUGUAGGUCUUUUAAACCUAUAAUAGUAACUAACGACUACUUCCGAUGA